This 2903-nucleotide ribosomal RNA is filed under the name Escherichia coli DEC15C. RNAcentral describes it as "bacterial LSU rRNA". It matches the Rfam family "Bacterial large subunit ribosomal RNA". The record is from RNAcentral. Lineage: Bacteria; Pseudomonadati; Pseudomonadota; Gammaproteobacteria; Enterobacterales; Enterobacteriaceae.
UUAAGCGACUAAGCGUACACGGUGGAUGCCCUGGCAGUCAGAGGCGAUGAAGGACGUGCUAAUCUGCGAUAAGCGUCGGUAAGGUGAUAUGAACCGUUAUAACCGGCGAUUUCCGAAUGGGGAAACCCAGUGUGUUUCGACACACUAUCAUUAACUGAAUCCAUAGGUUAAUGAGGCGAACCGGGGGAACUGAAACAUCUAAGUACCCCGAGGAAAAGAAAUCAACCGAGAUUCCCCCAGUAGCGGCGAGCGAACGGGGAGCAGCCCAGAGCCUGAAUCAGUGUGUGUGUUAGUGGAAGCGUCUGGAAAGGCGCGCGAUACAGGGUGACAGCCCCGUACACAAAAAUGCACAUGCUGUGAGCUCGAUGAGUAGGGCGGGACACGUGGUAUCCUGUCUGAAUAGUGGGGGGACCAUCCUCCAAGGCUAAAUACUCCUGACUGACCGAUAGUGAACCAGUACCGUGAGGGAAAGGCGAAAAGAACCCCGGCGAGGGGAGUGAAAAAGAACCUGAAACCGUGUACGUACAAGCAGUGGGAGCACGCUUAGGCGUGUGACUGCGUACCUUUUGUAUAAUGGGUCAGCGACUUAUAUUCUGUAGCAAGGUUAACCGAAUAGGGGAGCCGAAGGGAAACCGAGUCUUAACUGGGCGUUAAGUUGCAGGGUAUAGACCCGAAACCCGGUGAUCUAGCCAUGGGCAGGUUGAAGGUUGGGUAACACUAACUGGAGGACCGAACCGACUAAUGUUGAAAAAUUAGCGGAUGACUUGUGGCUGGGGGUGAAAGGCCAAUCAAACCGGGAGAUAGCUGGUUCUCCCCGAAAGCUAUUUAGGUAGCGCCUCGUGAAUUCAUCUCCGGGGGUAGAGCACUGUUUCGGCAAGGGGGUCAUCCCGACUUACCAACCCGAUGCAAACUGCGAAUACCGGAGAAUGUUAUCACGGGAGACACACGGCGGGUGCUAACGUCCGUCGUGAAGAGGGAAACAACCCAGACCGCCAGCUAAGGUCCCAAAGUCAUGGUUAAGUGGGAAACGAUGUGGGAAGGCCCAGACAGCCAGGAUGUUGGCUUAGAAGCAGCCAUCAUUUAAAGAAAGCGUAAUAGCUCACUGGUCGAGUCGGCCUGCGCGGAAGAUGUAACGGGGCUAAACCAUGCACCGAAGCUGCGGCAGCGACGCUUAUGCGUUGUUGGGUAGGGGAGCGUUCUGUAAGCCUGCGAAGGUGUGCUGUGAGGCAUGCUGGAGGUAUCAGAAGUGCGAAUGCUGACAUAAGUAACGAUAAAGCGGGUGAAAAGCCCGCUCGCCGGAAGACCAAGGGUUCCUGUCCAACGUUAAUCGGGGCAGGGUGAGUCGACCCCUAAGGCGAGGCCGAAAGGCGUAGUCGAUGGGAAACAGGUUAAUAUUCCUGUACUUGGUGUUACUGCGAAGGGGGGACGGAGAAGGCUAUGUUGGCCGGGCGACGGUUGUCCCGGUUUAAGCGUGUAGGCUGGUUUUCCAGGCAAAUCCGGAAAAUCAAGGCUGAGGCGUGAUGACGAGGCACUACGGUGCUGAAGCAACAAAUGCCCUGCUUCCAGGAAAAGCCUCUAAGCAUCAGGUAACAUCAAAUCGUACCCCAAACCGACACAGGUGGUCAGGUAGAGAAUACCAAGGCGCUUGAGAGAACUCGGGUGAAGGAACUAGGCAAAAUGGUGCCGUAACUUCGGGAGAAGGCACGCUGAUAUGUAGGUGAAGUCCCUCGCGGAUGGAGCUGAAAUCAGUCGAAGAUACCAGCUGGCUGCAACUGUUUAUUAAAAACACAGCACUGUGCAAACACGAAAGUGGACGUAUACGGUGUGACGCCUGCCCGGUGCCGGAAGGUUAAUUGAUGGGGUUAGCGCAAGCGAAGCUCUUGAUCGAAGCCCCGGUAAACGGCGGCCGUAACUAUAACGGUCCUAAGGUAGCGAAAUUCCUUGUCGGGUAAGUUCCGACCUGCACGAAUGGCGUAAUGAUGGCCAGGCUGUCUCCACCCGAGACUCAGUGAAAUUGAACUCGCUGUGAAGAUGCAGUGUACCCGCGGCAAGACGGAAAGACCCCGUGAACCUUUACUAUAGCUUGACACUGAACAUUGAGCCUUGAUGUGUAGGAUAGGUGGGAGGCUUUGAAGUGUGGACGCCAGUCUGCAUGGAGCCGACCUUGAAAUACCACCCUUUAAUGUUUGAUGUUCUAACGUUGACCCGUAAUCCGGGUUGCGGACAGUGUCUGGUGGGUAGUUUGACUGGGGCGGUCUCCUCCUAAAGAGUAACGGAGGAGCACGAAGGUUGGCUAAUCCUGGUCGGACAUCAGGAGGUUAGUGCAAUGGCAUAAGCCAGCUUGACUGCGAGCGUGACGGCGCGAGCAGGUGCGAAAGCAGGUCAUAGUGAUCCGGUGGUUCUGAAUGGAAGGGCCAUCGCUCAACGGAUAAAAGGUACUCCGGGGAUAACAGGCUGAUACCGCCCAAGAGUUCAUAUCGACGGCGGUGUUUGGCACCUCGAUGUCGGCUCAUCACAUCCUGGGGCUGAAGUAGGUCCCAAGGGUAUGGCUGUUCGCCAUUUAAAGUGGUACGCGAGCUGGGUUUAGAACGUCGUGAGACAGUUCGGUCCCUAUCUGCCGUGGGCGCUGGAGAACUGAGGGGGGCUGCUCCUAGUACGAGAGGACCGGAGUGGACGCAUCACUGGUGUUCGGGUUGUCAUGCCAAUGGCACUGCCCGGUAGCUAAAUGCGGAAGAGAUAAGUGCUGAAAGCAUCUAAGCACGAAACUUGCCCCGAGAUGAGUUCUCCCUGACUCCUUGAGAGUCCUGAAGGAACGUUGAAGACGACGACGUUGAUAGGCCGGGUGUGUAAGCGCAGCGAUGCGUUGAGCUAACCGGUACUAAUGAACCGUGAGGCUUAACCUU